This 253-nucleotide ribosomal RNA is filed under the name uncultured bacterium. RNAcentral describes it as "partial 16S ribosomal RNA". It matches the Rfam family "Bacterial small subunit ribosomal RNA", at positions 524 to 776 of the family's 1533-position model. The record is from RNAcentral.
UACGGGGGGGGCAAGCGUUGUUCGGAAUUACUGGGCGUAAAGGGCGCGUAGGCGGCCUUCUAAGUCGGACGUGAAAUCCCUCGGCUUAACCGAGGAACUGCGUCCGAUACUGAAAGGCUUGAAUCCGGGAGAGGGAUGUGGAAUUCCAGGUGUAGCGGUGAAAUGCGUAGAUAUCUGGAGGAACACCGGUGGCGAAGGCGGCAUCCUGGACCAACACUGACACUGAGGAGCGAAAGCCAGGGGAGCAAACGGG